RNAcentral lists this ribosomal RNA (468 nucleotides) under uncultured bacterium. RNAcentral describes it as "partial 16S ribosomal RNA". It matches the Rfam family "Bacterial small subunit ribosomal RNA", at positions 28 to 507 of the family's 1533-position model. The record is from RNAcentral.
GACGAACGCUGGCGGCGUGCUUAACACAUGCAAGUCGAACGGAAAGGCCCUGCUUUUGUGGGGUGCUCGAGUGGCGAACGGGUGAGUAACACGUGAGUAACCUGCCCUUGACUUUGGGAUAACUUCAGGAAACUGGGGCUAAUACCGGAUAGGAGCUCCUGCUGCAUGGUGGGGGUUGGAAAGUUUCGGCGGUUGGGGAUGGACUCGAGGCUUAUCAGCUUGUUGGUGGGGUAGUGGCUUACAAAGGCUUUGACGGGUAGCCGGCCUGAGAGGGUGACCGGCCACAUUGGGACUGAGAUACGGCCCAGACUCCUACGGGAGGCAGCAGUGGGGAAUAUUGCACAAUGGGCGGAAGCCUGAUGCAGCAACGCCGCGUGCGGGAUGACGGCCUUCGGGUUGUAAACCGCUUUCGCCUGUGACGAAGCGUGAGUGACGGUAAUGGGUAAAGAAGCACCGGCUAACUACGUG